RNAcentral lists this ribosomal RNA (253 nucleotides) under uncultured bacterium. Its description in RNAcentral is "partial 16S ribosomal RNA". It matches the Rfam family "Bacterial small subunit ribosomal RNA", at positions 524 to 776 of the family's 1533-position model. The record is from RNAcentral.
CACGGGGGGAGCAAGCGUUGUUCGGAUUCAUUGGGCGUAAAGGGCUCGUAGGUGGCUUUGUAAGUCGGAGGUGAAAUCCCACGGCUCAACCGUGGACACGCCUUCGAAACUGUGAAGCUUGAGGCUGGGAGAGGAGAUCGGAAUUCCUGGUGUAGCGGUGAAAUGCGUAGAUAUCGGGAGGAAUACCAGUGGCGAAGGCGGCCUGCUGGGCCACGACCGACACUGAGGUGCGAAAGCGUGGGGAGCGAACCGG